AACGAACGCUGGCGGCAUGCCUAACACAUGCAAGUCGAACGGGAUCCUGGCUUCGGCCAGGUGAGAGUGGCGGACGGGUGAGUAACGCGUGGGAACCUGCCCAUUGGUCUGGGAUAACUGCGGGAAACUGCAGCUAAUACCGGAUGUACCCGAGAGGGGAAAGAUUUAUCGCCGAUGGAGGGGCCCGCGUCAGAUUAGGUAGUUGGUGAGGUAACGGCUCACCAAGCCUACGAUCUGUAGCUGGUCUGAGAGGAUGAUCAGCCACACUGGGACUGAGAUACGGCCCAGACUCCUACGGGAGGCAGCAGUGGGGAAUAUUGGACAAUGGGGGCAACCCUGAUCCAGCAAUGCCGCGUGAGUGAUGAAGGCCUUAGGGUUGUAAAGCUCUUUUACCAGGACGAUGAUGACGGUACCUGGAGAAUAAGCCCCGGCUAACUUCGUGCCAGCAGCC
RNAcentral lists this ribosomal RNA (451 nucleotides) under uncultured bacterium. Its description in RNAcentral is "bacterial SSU rRNA". It matches the Rfam family "Bacterial small subunit ribosomal RNA", at positions 29 to 516 of the family's 1533-position model. The record is from RNAcentral.